Molecule: long non-coding RNA, 4228 nt
Filed under: Homo sapiens (human)
Lineage: Eukaryota; Metazoa; Chordata; Mammalia; Primates; Hominidae
Description: long independently transcribed non-coding RNA 1094, transcript variant 2 (LINC01094)
Source: RNAcentral
CUUUUCAGUUCUGUCUUCCUGAGGCUGCUGUUUCUGGGCAUGGCCAGGGGAUCUUCAGACUUUACAAACCAGUUGUGCAGAGCCAGGCAUUUCAAUAAGGAACAAAAUGCUGAGUAACAACAUGAAGUCAGAGUGUUGCUUGCCAAGAGCUGGGAGGCCUGGGUGGUUUCCCAAUCUUAAAGAAGCAGAAGGAUAUUAAAGUGAGCCUCCCAAAGGAAAACGUGGAUCUACUUACCAACGCAGAAAAUGAUACACACGGAUUCGAUUUAGGCACGCUACAUUCAAAUGACUUGGAAGAGCAGGUUCUCUGAGCCAGGAUACUAAAGUCCCUGUUUAGGAAAGAGCCACGUUGUAUGUUUACCCUACCACAAAGAUACAGUCAUGUGCCUGGGAAAGAUUGAUGCCAGCUCCAGAAAGGCAUCCGAAUGGUCUAAGUAAUGCCAUCCAUCUGUCAGUAAUAGAUUCAGAAAUGGAAUUCUGGAGGAAAGUGGCUCUGGGAAUUGAACAGUGGCUCAGUGAUGUUGGGGCCACCAAGUCUGCAAUUCUCCCUACCUGUUCUUCAUGGUUGUAAGAUGACUGCUGCAAUUCUCGGCAUCAUGUGCAUGUUAAUGUCAGGAGGAAGAAAGGAAGAGGGAGCACUGGGAUGUUACAUUCAUUUUGUCAGGAAAAGCAAAGCCUUUCCAGACAGCUCCGAAACUUGCUUACCUCUCAUUGGCCAGCACCAUCACUUGACCACUUGUCCACUCCUAGCUGCAAGGAAAGUGGCAAAGUAGAAGGUAUUUGAGAAUGUCUGCUGGGUUAGCCAAAACAAUAGUGACUUCUACACCCAAUUUUCUGGGCACUGCAGAAGUAUCCUUGAGUCCUAUGUGAUCAGAGGGAGAGCAAACCUCAAUAAUGAAACAGAUUCAAUUUCCAUCACCCAGUGAGACACCAUGGGAUUAGAAUAAAUUUUUAAAAAAACAAAUUGAAAAAAAUGCAUUUUUAAAACAACAAAAUCAGAAAGGAUGAAAGGUGAUAUUUCUAGCAUAUCAGUUUGUGGUGGUAAAUUAAUUACCUUAUACAAAGGCCUCAGUGACUUUCUUCUCCUUACCUAACGAAUCAUCUUUAAAAUAAGUAAAAUAAAGAAACAAGAGCAGCAGCAGAUGCUUCCUAAAAAGAAGUUACCAAAUCUGUUCACCACAAACCUGAGAAUUCAACUGUGGACAUUUGGACACCAGCAAUGAACAUGAAACUCAGCUUAUGAGGCAUAUUUGGCUAAAGGUCAAGGUGACUUAAAGUUCAUCAUAGGACAUCUACAAUUUGCAAAGCAGGUGACUGGAUAUGGACUCCUUCCAAGUCUCAUUUAAUUGGAUAAUGCCUACGUUUUAAGUAUCAGAAGUGAGUCUUUCUCUAUUAAAUGAAGUCAGUUCCACUAAAACCUAAAUCUUGUUUGGCAGGCACUCCAUGUUUCUUAAUUUUUAUUCCAUGCUGUAUAUUCUUUUAGACUUGAUUUUCACUUUUUUUUCUUUUUUCCUGUACAUUUAUCUUUGCUGUGAAACAAAGUGCCCUGCUUUGAAGGACAGGUUUGUGGGCUGCUGGUGGUGAGACAACAGCAGUCCUUCCAAGUCUUCCUCCCAUCACUCUGUUAGCUCUCCCUUUGUUUUUAAUUAGCAUUACACCAGUUAAUUCUGUUAUCUCUUAACCCUGGUUCUGCAUCCUCUUCUUCUUUUCUAUUCCUUACUCCGCUCCUGUUUUUUCUUGUUCUGCUUUUCCAAGAAAUGUCUUGUCUCCUCAUCAGUUGACUGUCUUCUCUUUCCAGAGGGACCAUAAAGGUGCCAGCCUAAGGAACACGUAAAACGUGGGAACAGACAAACAAGCUGCUGCCUAUUACAGAGAUAGAUAAUUAACUUUGGACCAUUACAUGCAAUUCAUCAGCUUAUCUUUUUCAAACUUUAUAUAAGAAGUCAUUUCCCAAUGGUAACCACUUGCCAGCUGCAACUUUGACGCAUAUUAUCAGGAUAGGUGAGAUUGAUGGGGGCCCUUUGAACUCUUCCCAGGGAAUUAUCUUUAUAAUGUUACAGUUUUCUCUAUAGCAUGGUCAUAUUGUUAACAUUGGUUAUAAGGUCAUAUGGUUAGUAUGGUUAGUAUUGGUGGCUCACAGCUGUAAUACCAGCACUUUGGGAGGCCAAGGUGGGAGGAUCACUUGAGCCCUGGUGUUCAAAACCAGCUCUGGAAACAUAGCAAGACCUUGUCUCUACAAAAAAAAAUUAAAUAAAUUAAAAGAUUAGCUGGGCAUGGUGGCACAUGCCUGUAGUCCUCACUACUUGGGAAACUAAGGUGGGAGGAUCCUUUGAGCUUGGGAGGUUGAGGCUGCAGUGAGCUGUGGUUGUGCCAUGGCACUCCAGCCUGGGUGACAGAGUGAGAGCCUGUCUCAAAAAAAAAAAAAAAAAAAAAAAAAAGUACCUGUAAGGUCUUUGGGAUUUUGAAGAUGAAAGGUGUUGCAUAAAUUGAAUGAAUUCACUUAGAGAGAUAGAAGGCAACUACAGGGAAUAUUACGUACAUCAUGGAGCGGAAAGCACUAAGGCCUGUGGAAUUAUUCUCAGUGACACGUCGUUGAGGGCAGUGGUCCACAUGUUUUGAACAUGGUUUCUCCCAGGUGAAAAGGAUGAGUAAUUUGUUCUCCUUCACAUGUGUGUAUGUAGGUCUUAUACACAGCAGAUUUGCCACAAAACAAAUGAAGAUUACACUUUGGGCCCCUCUCUCACAUGAGCCCCUUCCAAAGUUCUGUUUGCUAAUUUUACAUUUUGUAAUUUCUUAUUAUUUUUCUUAAAGAAGCCUCCUCCAAUUGCAUAAACUUCAAGCCUCACAAAAUUUGGAUCCAUACCUGAGCCAACAUACAAUACAAUUUUCCAUUUCUAACUUUUAGUUGUACCUAGUGUUUUAUUGGAAAUGAUCAAGUACAUGAGUGGUGUCUUUUUAAAAAAUUUACUUUAUUUGCUUCUCUAGCUUCAUCGUUAGUUAGGCAGUUAAAUCUAACCAUUUGGAGGUAUUUUCAUAUAACCUCCAUUGAGGACAAUUUGGCAAUAGCUUUUAAAAUUAUAAAUAUAUUUGUACAGUUAUAAGCUGCCAUAUCUAUAAAACUAUUUGAUAGACAAAAGUUGAAAACCCUCCAAGAGCUCAUCAAUAAAAGAUUAAAUUAAUUAUGAUACAUCCAUAUGAGCACUGAGCAGCUGUGAAAAAAAUGAGGAAGUAAUUCCUGUGCUGAUAUGGGAAGACUUCCAAGACAUGUUGUUAAGUACAGAAUGGUGUAUACAGUAUGCUAUAUAGUGUGGUAAAAGGUUUAGGGAUAAGCAUUUAUAUUUAUAACUGUUUAUAUUUACAUAAAGUAAUUCUGAAAGGAUACAAAAAAGCUAACAAAAGAGAUUACCUGUGGUAGUGUGGGGCUUGGGGAUUGGAUGGGUGAGAAACAGUAGUGGAAAUGAGAUAUUGUACAGUUUAAGGCAUUAUACACCUAUAAAAACAUGGGAAUGUAUUACCUACUCAAAAAGUGAAAUUAAGAGAGAUACAAGAAACUGUUUGGAUGUUCCUUCCCGUUUCAAUGUAUCUAUAUUUUUUCAGCCCUCAAAGUUAUUAUAAAUGUCAUUAUAAUAACUUCAUAAAGCUUCCCCUAUAAUGAGAAUCUUACCAUUCUCCUAACUCCAAUAGCACUGUAAUCCACCUCUGUUAGGACACAUCACUCUUCAUCAUGUGUGAUUAUUAUUUGCAGAUAUCAUCUUCAAGGCUCUUCUCUAUUUACCACCUGCCAUUCUUGUUCUCACCUCUACAUGACCUUCACAUUUUAUUUCUCUCGGUUUUUUGGACAAGCUACAUUCCCUUCCACAGAGAAGGCUUCCCUGACCCCUUUCACUUGGUUGGAUUACCUUGCUAUUCUUUUCUAUCUUUGUACAUUCCUUUUCAAAAUACUUAUCUCCCUUGUUGUUACCUAUAAUGUCUGUCUUCUUUACUCAAGAGUCUAGACAAAAAGCUCCACGCCAGCCUCGGCUGUGUUUGUAUUGUUUACGUCUGUGUUCCUAGUGCUUAAUAAAAUACCUAGCAAGGGUUAAUAAGUACUUGUUGACUGGAAGGGAAUGACUUCCUUCCCUUACUAGAGAGUGAUUUCCUUACAGGCGAGAUGUGUCAACCUUCUAUAGCCCACAUAAAAUAAAGGACAAUAUCUCCUAUUGGAUAAAAGACAAAAAAAAAAAAAAAA